AGCGAACGCUGGCGGCAGGCUUAACACAUGCAAGUCGAGCGGGCAUCCUUGUGGUGUCAGCGGCAGACGGGUGAGUAACGCGUGGGAACGUGCCCUUCGGUUCGGAAUAACUCAGGGAAACUUGAGCUAAUACCGGAUACGUGCGAGAGCAGAAAGGUUUAUCUGCCGAAGGAUCGGCCCGCGUCUGAUUAGCUAGUUGGUGAGGUUACGGCUCACCAAGGCGACGAUCAGUAGCUGGUCUGAGAGGAUGAUCAGCCACACUGGGACUGAGACACGGCCCAGACUCCUACGGGAGGCAGCAGUGGGGAAUAUUGGACAAUGGGGGCAACCCUGAUCCAACCAUGCCGCGUGAGUGAUGACGGCCUUAGGGUUGUAAAGCUCUUUUCUCCGGGACGAUAAUGACGGUACCGGAGGAAUAAGCCCCGGCUAACUUCGUG
This 437-nucleotide ribosomal RNA is filed under the name uncultured bacterium. RNAcentral describes it as "partial 16S ribosomal RNA". It matches the Rfam family "Bacterial small subunit ribosomal RNA", at positions 29 to 507 of the family's 1533-position model. The record is from RNAcentral.